AUUGAACGCUGGCGGCAGGCCUAACACAUGCAAGUCGGACGGUAGCACAGAGGAGCUUGCUCCUCGGGUGACGAGUGGCGGACGGGUGAGUAAUGUCUGGGGAUCUGCCCGAUAGAGAGGGAUAACCACUGGAAACGGUGGCUAAUACCGCAUAACGUCGCAAGACCAAAGAGGGGGACCUUCGGGCCUCUCACUAUCGGAUGAACCCAGAUGGGAUUAGCUAGUAGGCGGGGUAACGGCCCACCUAGGCGACGAUCCCUAGCUGGUCUGAGAGGAUGACCAGCCACACUGGAACUGAGACACGGUCCAGACUCCUACGGGAGGCAGCAGUGGGGAAUAUUGCACAAUGGGCGCAAGCCUGAUGCAGCCAUGCCGCGUGUAUGAAGAAGGCCUUCGGGUUGUAAAGUACUUUCAGCGGGGAGGAAGGCGAUGUGGUUAAUAACCGCAUUGAUUGACGUUGCCCGCAGAAGAAGCACCGGCUAACUCCGUGCCAGCAGCCGCGGUAA
RNAcentral lists this ribosomal RNA (506 nucleotides) under uncultured bacterium. RNAcentral's name for it is "partial 16S ribosomal RNA". It matches the Rfam family "Bacterial small subunit ribosomal RNA", at positions 29 to 523 of the family's 1533-position model. The record is from RNAcentral.